GAUGAACGCUGGCGGCGUGCCUAAUACAUGAAAGUCGAGCGAACAGACGAGGAGUUUUCUCUUCUGACGUUACCGGCGGACGGGUGAGUAAAACGUGGAUAACCUAUCUAUAAGACUGGGAUAACUUCGGGAAACCGGAGCUAAUACCGGACAUUAUAUAGAACCGCAUGGUUCAAUAGAGACAGACGGAUUUGCUGUCACUUAUAGAUGGAUCCGCGCCGCAUUAGCUAGUUGGUAAGGUAACGGCUUACCAAGGCAACGAUCCGUAGCCGGGCCGAGAGGGUGAUCGGGCACACUGGAACUGAGACACCGUCCAGACUCCUACGGGAGGCAGCAGUUGGGAAUCUUCUGCAAUGAGCGAAAGCUUGACGGAGCAACGCCGCGUGGGUGAUGAAGGUCUUCGGAUCGUAAAACUCUGUUAUUGGGGAAGAACAAAUGUGUGAGUAACUAUGCACGUCUUGACGGUACCUAAUCAGAAAGCCACGGCUAACUACGUG
This 497-nucleotide ribosomal RNA is filed under the name uncultured bacterium. RNAcentral's name for it is "partial 16S ribosomal RNA". It matches the Rfam family "Bacterial small subunit ribosomal RNA", at positions 28 to 507 of the family's 1533-position model. The record is from RNAcentral.